Molecule: ribosomal RNA, 451 nt
Filed under: uncultured Ruegeria sp.
Lineage: Bacteria; Pseudomonadati; Pseudomonadota; Alphaproteobacteria; Rhodobacterales; Roseobacteraceae
Description: bacterial SSU rRNA
Rfam family: Bacterial small subunit ribosomal RNA
Source: RNAcentral
AGAGUUUGAUCCUGGCUCAGAACGAACGCUGGCGGCAGGCCUAACACAUGCAAGUCGANCGCCACCUUCGGGUGAGANCGGCGGACGGGUUAGUAACGCGUGGGAACAUACCCUUUUCUAAGAGAAUAGCCACUGGAAACGGUGAGUAAUACCUUAUACGCCCUUCGGGGAGAAAGAUUUAUCGGAGAAAGAUUNGGCCCGCGUUAGAUUAGAUAGUUGGUGGGGUAACGGCCUACCAAGUCUACGAUCUAUAGCUGGUUUGAGANGAUGAUCAGCAACACUGGGACUGAGACACGGCCCAGACUCCUACGGGAGGGCAGCAGUGGGGAAUCUUAGACAAUGGGCGCAAGCCUGAUCUAGCCAUGCCGCGUGAGUGAUGAAGGGCUUAGGGUCGUAAAGCUCUUUCGCCAGAGAUGAUAAUGACAGUAUCUGGUAAAGAACCCCGGCUAAC